Molecule: ribosomal RNA, 2088 nt
Filed under: synthetic metagenome
Description: bacterial LSU rRNA
Rfam family: Bacterial large subunit ribosomal RNA
Source: RNAcentral
GCAUAAUGGGCGAUGACAGCUUGUUCGCCAGCAUGUAGCUCAGUGCACUGCCAAGAGUAGAAUUCUACUCCCCGACUUACCAACCCGAUGCAAACUGCGAAUACCGGAGAAUGUUAUCACGGGAGACACACGGCGGGUGCUAACGUCCGUCGUGAAGAGGGAAACAACCCAGACCGCCAGCUAAGGUCCCAAAGUCAUGGUUAAGUGGGAAACGAUGUGGGAAGGCCCAGACAGCCAGGAUGUUGGCUUAGAAGCAGCCAUCAUUUAAAGAAAGCGUAAUAGCUCACUGGUCGAGUCGGCCUGCGCGGAAGAUGUAACGGGGCUAAACCAUGCACCGAAGCUGCGGCAGCGACACUAUGUGUUGUUGGGUAGGGGAGCGUUCUGUAAGCCUGUGAAGGUGGCCUGUGAGGGUUGCUGGAGGUAUCAGAAGUGCGAAUGCUGACAUAAGUAACGAUAAAGCGGGUGAAAAGCCCGCUCGCCGGAAGACCAAGGGUUCCUGUCCAACGUUAAUCGGGGCAGGGUGAGUCGACCCCUAAGGCGAGGCCGAAAGGCGUAGUCGAUGGGAAACAGGUUAAUAUUCCUGUACUUGGUGUUACUGCGAAGGGGGGACGGAGAAGGCUAUGUUGGCCGGGCGACGGUUGUCCCGGUUUAAGCGUGUAGGCUGGUUUUCCAGGCAAAUCCGGAAAACCAAGGCUGAGGCGUGAUGACGAGGCACUACGGUGCUGAAGCGACAAAUGCCCUGCUUCCAGGAAAAGCCUCUAAGCAUCAGGUAACAUCAAAUCGUACCCCAAACCGACACAGGUGGUCAGGUAGAGAAUACCAAGGCGCUUGAGAGAACUCGGGUGAAGGAACUAGGCAAAAUGGUGCCGUAACUUCGGGAGAAGGCACGCUGAUAUGUAGGUGAAGCGACUUGCUCGUGGAGCUGAAAUCAGUCGAAGAUACCAGCUGGCUGCAACUGUUUAUUAAAAACACAGCACUGUGCAAACACGAAAGUGGACGUAUACGGUGUGACGCCUGCCCGGUGCCGGAAGGUUAAUUGAUGGGGUUAGCGGUAACGCGAAGCUCUUGAUCGAAGCCCCGGUAAACGGCGGCCGUAACUAUAACGGUCCUAAGGUAGCGAAAUUCCUUGUCGGGUAAGUUCCGACCUGCACGAAUGGCGUAAUGAUGGCCAGGCUGUCUCCACCCGAGACUCAGUGAAAUUGAACUCGCUGUGAAGAUGCAGUGUACCCGCGGCAAGACGGAAAGACCCCGUGAACCUUUACUAUAGCUUGACACUGAACAUUGAGCCUUGAUGUGUAGGAUAGGUGGGAGGCUUUGAAGUGUGGACGCCAGUCUGCAUGGAGCCGGCCUUGAAAUACCACCCUUUAAUGUUUGAUGUUCUAACGUUGGCCCGUAAUCCGGGUUGCGGACAGUGUCUGGUGGGUAGUUUGACUGGGGCGGUCUCCUCCUAAAGAGUAACGGAGGAGCACGAAGGUUGGCUAAUCCUGGUCGGACAUCAGGAGGUUAGUGCAAUGGCAUAAGCCAGCUUGACUGCGAGCGUGACGGCGCGAGCAGGUGCGAAAGCAGGUCAUAGUGAUCCGGUGGUUCUGAAUGGAAGGGCCAUCGCUCAACGGAUAAAAGGUACUCCGGGGAUAACAGGCUGAUACCGCCCAAGAGUUCAUAUCGACGGCGGUGUUUGGCACCUCGAUGUCGGCUCAUCACAUCCUGGGGCUGAAGUAGGUCCCAAGGGUAUGGCUGUUCGCCAUUUAAAGUGGUACGCGAGCUGGGUUUAGAACGUCGUGAGACAGUUCGGUCCCUAUCUGCCGUGGGCGCUGGAGAACUGAGGGGGGCUGCUCCUAGUACGAGAGGACCGGAGUGGACGCAUCACUGGUGUUCGGGUUGUCAUGCCAAUGGCACUGCCCGGUAGCUAAAUGCGGAAGAGAUAAGUGCUGAAAGCAUCUAAGCACGAAACUUGCCCCGAGAUGAGUUCUCCCUGACCCUUUAAGGGUCCUGAAGGAACGUUGAAGACGACGACGUUGAUAGGCCGGGUGUGUAAGCGCAGCGAUGCGUUGAGCUAACCGGUACUAAUGAACCGUGAGGCUUAACCUU